GGGAGGUCCCUAAUAACUGUGUGA
Molecule: non-coding RNA, 24 nt
Filed under: Arabidopsis thaliana (thale cress)
Lineage: Eukaryota; Viridiplantae; Streptophyta; Magnoliopsida; Brassicales; Brassicaceae
Source: RNAcentral